This 429-nucleotide ribosomal RNA is filed under the name Bacteroidota bacterium. RNAcentral's name for it is "Bacteroidetes bacterium partial 16S ribosomal RNA". It matches the Rfam family "Bacterial small subunit ribosomal RNA", at positions 355 to 776 of the family's 1533-position model. The record is from RNAcentral. RNAcentral also lists the same sequence under 1 other name. Lineage: Bacteria; Pseudomonadati; Bacteroidota.
UAGGGAAUCUUCGGCAAUGGGGGGAACCCUGACCGAGCAACGCCGCGUGAGUGAAGAAGGUUUUCGGAUCGUAAAGCUCUGUUGUUAAGGAAGAACGAGUGUGAGAAUGGAAAGUUCAUGCUGUGACGGUACUUAACCAGAAAGGGACGGCUAACUACGUGCCAGCAGCCGCGAUAAUACGUAGGUCCCGAGCGUUGUCCGGAUUUAUUGGGCGUAAAGCGAGCGCAGGCGGUUAGAAAAGUCUGAAGUGAAAGGCAGUGGCUCAACCAUUGUAGGCUUUGGAAACUGUUUAACUUGAGUGCAGAAGGGGAGAGUGGAAUUCCAUGUGUAGCGGUGAAAUGCGUAGAUAUAUGGAGGAACACCGGUGGCGAAAGCGGCUCUCUGGUCUGUAACUGACGCUGAGGCUCGAAAGCGUGGGGAGCGAACAGG